AUACGUAGGGGGCGAGCGUUGUCCGGAAUGAUUGGGCGUAAAGGGCGCGUAGGCGGCGCGGUAAGUCUGGAGUGAAAGUCCUGCUUUCAAGGUGGGAAUUGCUUUGGAUACUGUCGGGCUUGAGUGCAGGAGAGGUAAGUGGAAUUCCCAGUGUAGCGGUGAAAUGCGUAGAGAUUGGGAGGAACACCAGUGGCGAAGGCGACUUACUGGACUGUAACUGACGCUGAGGCGCGAAAGUGUGGGGAGCAAACAGGAUUAGAUACCCUGGUAGUCCACACUGUAAACGAUGAAUGCUAGGUGUAGGGGGUAUCGACCCCUUCUGUGCCGCAGUCAACACAAUAAGCAUUCCGCCUGGGGAGUACGGCCGCAAGGUUGAAACUCAAAUGAAUUGACGGGG
This 397-nucleotide ribosomal RNA is filed under the name uncultured bacterium. RNAcentral describes it as "partial 16S ribosomal RNA". It matches the Rfam family "Bacterial small subunit ribosomal RNA", at positions 523 to 918 of the family's 1533-position model. The record is from RNAcentral.